This 253-nucleotide ribosomal RNA is filed under the name uncultured bacterium. Its description in RNAcentral is "partial 16S ribosomal RNA". It matches the Rfam family "Bacterial small subunit ribosomal RNA", at positions 524 to 776 of the family's 1533-position model. The record is from RNAcentral.
AACGUAGGACGCAAGCGUUAUCCGGAGUUACUGGGCGUAAAGCGCGGGCAGGCGGCUCGAAACGUCUGAUGUGAAAUCUCCUCGCUCAACGGGGAGAGGCCAUUGGAAACGGUCGAGCUGGAGGGCAGUAGAGGUAGGCGGAAUUCCGGGUGGAGUGGUGAAAUGCGUAGAGAUCCUGAGGAACACCAGAGGCGAAGGCGGCCUACUGGGCUGCACCUGACGCUGAGGAGCGAAAGUGUGGGGAGCGAACAGG